Bos taurus (domestic cattle) is the source of this 72-nucleotide non-coding RNA. The record is from Rfam. NCBI's taxonomy places the organism in Eukaryota, Metazoa, Chordata, Mammalia, Artiodactyla, Bovidae.
UCCCUGGUGGCUCAGGUGGUAAAGAAUCUGCUUGCAAUGCAGGAGACCUAGGUUAGAUCCCUGGAUUGGGAA